RNAcentral lists this long non-coding RNA (1528 nucleotides) under Scleropages formosus (Asian bonytongue). Its description in RNAcentral is "lncRNA (ENSSFOG00015032903.1)". Lineage: Eukaryota; Metazoa; Chordata; Actinopteri; Osteoglossiformes; Osteoglossidae. The record is from RNAcentral.
CUCCCCUCCUAAAACAGUAACGCGGGGUCGUUACAAUAUGAAUACGGUUUGGCAAGCUAACAAAAUCAACUAAAUGUACUGUUUGAUAAUAAUAAAGUCAGACAAAAGGAAACUGGUGGGUUGUACUGCAUUAAAAGGGGAAAGAAAAAAAAACACAAUGCGGCGCGCGCAGAGUGGCGGGACGGCACGGCACGCACUGUAGAAACAGGAAAUAGCUCCGGUUAAAAGGCGCCUGACAGAGCAACACUCGGCGGAGCGAUCGAGUCCGGCGGGUGAUCUGAGGUUUCUACACAUGAACAGAGCCCGUUUAUUAUCCUAACAUUCAUGUUUUAGCCAAAGGAAAGCAAACGCGAGCACAGCUGAGUUGUUUGGAGCGUGCGCGCGGAAAGUCUUGACACUGAGUUUCCCGUCGCCUCUCCCGCGAGCCAUAUUUCCUGCGGUCUGACUGUCAGCGGUGUCACAUGCCUGUGGCGCGCGCUGCUCGCAUACGAAAGACGUGCAGGUAAGGAACAGCGUCACCCUGCAGACUGCGGUUAGAAGCGCACCUUCCUUCCCGCGUGACACGUGGGCGCUAUGGGGAUCGAGCGGAUCUGGGCUCUGGGACUUCUGCUGGCGCUCGUGCCAUGGCUGUGCCAGUGCAUAUCGGUUACUUUCCAGCAUAUCCAGCAACCCCUCCAUGUGAUUCUGAAUGAGACCAUGGUUCUGGAAGCCCACAUUCAGAGCCCUAAGGAGCAAAUUGCUCAUGUGACCUGGGAAAUACGGGCAGAGAGCAGCACUGGCUUGAGGAAGGUUACAGUGGCAGAGUUCCCAGGCUCCAACAUCAAUUCCCGGAUAACUACGGGCAAUAAUGGGGCCACACUGAGGGUGCUGGGCUUCCGCAGGGAAGACUGCGGGAUUUACACGUUAACCGUGACCAGCCAGUCCCGCACUUCUGCGUCUGCAGACUGCAUUGUGCAGGAAUACAAGGCUGUGCAUCAUGUCACCGUGUCCAUCAACGUGUCCCACACCAGUCUGCUGUGUCAGGAAGCCUGGGGCACUGACCCCAAAUUUAAAUGGCUGCAUGAGAGAACCCAGAUGAAUGAGGAGGAGACGAAGAAGAUACUUGAACAGAAGGGAGCGGCUAACUGAGUCGUAUGAGGUUCAGUUCUGAAGAACCACACUGGACAGAAAGCUGACUGAGGGCCCAUCCCUUCCUCUCGCUGUCUGAACUUCCACUGCCUGUUGGGGACACUGCGCUGCAGGAACUGCAGGAAAUGAACGCCAUCCAUUGGGAGGGGUUUCCUCCUGUGUGCACCCCUUUGACCUCCUGCUGAGCUUUGGAACAGUGGGGGGAGCUGACUGCUUGACAGCAGUUUGAAGCUUGAUAGUAGAGGAGAUCUGUUUUUGUUUUGAAUUUCAGCUUCAGUCUUCUGUUAUGAUAAUGAUUAAAUUGAUAAACAAUUGUCUGUAAAAUUCUAUGGAAUGAUUUUUGUAAUGACCUUUUACAUAGAAAAAUAAAUUAAAGGAAUUUUUAUGCUUUUUUUAAAAA